AGAGUUUGAUCCUGGCUCAGGACGAACGCUGGCGGCGUGCUUAACACAUGCAAGCCGAACGGAAAGGCCCUUUCGGGGGUACUCGAGUGGCGAACGGGUGAGUAACACGUGGGUGAUCUGCCCUGCACUUUGGGAUAAGCCUGGGAAACUGGGUCUAAUACCGAAUACACCCUGCUGGUCGCAUGGCCUGGUGGGGGAAAGCUUUUGCGGUGUGGGAUGGGCCCGCGGCCUAUCAGCUUGUUGGUGGGGUGAUGGCCUACCAAGGCGACGACGGGUAGCCGGCCUGAGAGGAUGAUCAGCCACACUGGGACUGAGACACGGCCCAGACUCCUACGGGAGGCAGCAGUGGGGAAUAUUGCACAAUGGGCGCAAGCCUGAUGCAGCGACGCCGCGUGGGGGAUGACGGCCUUCGGGUUGUAAACCUCUUUCACCAUCGGCGAAGCCCAUGAUUUUUGUUGUGGGUGACGGUAGGUGGAGAAGAAGCACCGGCCAACUACGUGCCAGCAGCCGCGGUAAUACGUAGGGUGCGAGCGUUGUCCGGAAUUACUGGGCGUAAAGAGCUCGUAGGUGGUUUGUCGCGUUGUCCGUGAAAUUCCCUGGCUUAACUGGGGGCGUGCGGGCGAUACGGGCAGACUAGAGUACUGCAGGGGAGACUGGAAUUCCUGGUGUAGCGGUGGAAUGCGCAGAUAUCAGGAGGAACACCGGUGGCGAAGGCGGGUCUCUGGGCAGUAACUGACGCUGAGGAGCGAAAGCGUGGGGAGCGAACAGGAUUAGAUACCCUGGUAGUCC
This 789-nucleotide ribosomal RNA is filed under the name uncultured bacterium. RNAcentral describes it as "bacterial SSU rRNA". It matches the Rfam family "Bacterial small subunit ribosomal RNA", at positions 8 to 796 of the family's 1533-position model. The record is from RNAcentral.